UUAUUAAGUGCAGAAAAUACAAGUGAGCCCACACAAGAACAAAGUGAUGAUCAGUUACUUGAGCCUCACGCUACAGAUGCAAAGUUGCUUGAAUCACAUGAUGGUGCAUACAAUAAGAUCCAUGGAUAGCAUAUAGCAUAGCUUAGUCUCUCUAAGAGUUAGUUAUGCCACGUCAUAGACAGUUAGAACUUGAUCCAUUGUAUAUAUACACUUGUAACUGCAUAUUGUAACUCACUUUUUCAUUCUUCAAUCAAUAUACAAUUUUCCCCAA
Molecule: long non-coding RNA, 271 nt
Filed under: Trifolium pratense (red clover)
Lineage: Eukaryota; Viridiplantae; Streptophyta; Magnoliopsida; Fabales; Fabaceae
Description: long non-coding RNA (TPRA_LNC008751)
Source: RNAcentral